This 1840-nucleotide unclassified non-coding RNA is filed under the name Yarrowia lipolytica. The record is from RNAcentral. Lineage: Eukaryota; Fungi; Ascomycota; Dipodascomycetes; Dipodascales.
GGGGUGGGGCCGCCGCCGCUUGGAGUUGGGCUACGGGCUAUGGACGGUACUGUUAAUGGUGGACCCUGAUUGACAAGUCUUUUUCCAGACUAAAAAGCACUCAAAAAACACACCUAAAGUGAGUCUGCAAGAUGGCGACUUGUAGCCUUUGUCGAGCUCCUUCUUAAUCGCCAUACUGCCUGUCUAUCGUCAAAUCUCCGAGUGGCUGCCUUUGCAUGACAGCCUUGCACACGUGUUGUUUGUCUGAGCUUGCGCCCACACACCUUGUUGCCAGGAGGCUCAUGGAGGCGAAAACCCAGUUUCUCGAAUCUCCGGCGUGGUGAGGGCCCAUGAGCUCUUGUACAUACCCUAGAGGUACAAGCAGCGGCGGCGGCACGAGCAGCGGCGUUUGUAUUGUCUCCAAACUUGCUGACGGCCGUAUCUACGCCACUCAACAUGACACUUUGUUGCUUUUGAGCAAUGCACCAUAUCCUGUCAGAUGCCUGAAUAACAGUCCUGUGUCUGAUAACUUGGUAGGACUGGUAGGGGAGGGGAGGGGUGAGGACAAACCUGGUUCGAUACAACCACACACUGUCCUACAGCACACUGUUCCGUAGCUUGGCCCAUUGAACUCCACAAGACAGCCAAACAGCUACAUCUUGGACGGACUUGCUCAUCACUAAUCAAUAACACAGUCUUUGACGACCACCACGGUAUUUCAACUUGUACUCACCUAACCGCAAGUCUUUGGUCAGCAACUUUUAGCGUUUCUUGUUCGGUCAGUAUCGGGUGGUGAAUGAACCAUGGUACACCCUUCACCUACAGCUCGCUCCGUGUCUGGCCGCGUCAUGCUCAGCGGACAUUAGCGCCCUUUGCUAGUCGCCCUAGUCUAUAAGCAGACAGAUACUCGAGAUACGAGCUGUGUUCGCAAUGCGAUUGACACACCCCUCUCCACACGUUUCUCUUUUUGGAUGCACAGCUUUUCUCAACAACUUGCCACAAUAUACACACACCAGACACCAGACACGCUGCUCACGUAUCCUGGAUACGGGCACGUAUAAAUGACAGGGAUCCACGGACCCUGCUGUGUACCUUACAUGACGUUGCGAUGGAAUAGCCCAGGUUCACAGCUUCCCGUCGCCUAUACUUGCCCUAGCUCCGGGGCGCUGUGUGGAGAACAAGGGGGUCAAGAAGGCGGAUUUGGGAGGGACAAGGCAAGAAGAAAUUCAAUAUUGUACAGUGUACAGUAGUGGUACUAAGGCCAACAGUUGGAGAAAGUCUCGCUUGAACAAGAUGAAAUGAAAAUCCUGUCUCAAGAGAAGACCCCACACGAGCUCUUCUACGCCGCCGAAAACAAGCUACAAAGCAACAGCCAAAGGGGAUUGCGGGCCAGAUGCUCUUUUCCGACCACAGCCCAUCACCACCUCUCCUCAUUGGCUACUCUUAUCAGACAUACGUCAGUCAGACCAAAAAAAGGUCAGUCAGCCAUUAGCAAAAAGUGAACCGAACAAAGACAGGCCCAUCUCAUCACCCAACCACCUCUCCAUUGUCUCUAAUACGAGAUGCAACCUGCAACCGAGCACGAUGGCAAAAAGAUAUAGGCGAGAAAGACAAGCAGAAAAACAAGAAAGCCAAAACCCCAGAAAGAAGAAGCAAACGCUGAGAAACCUGAGACAAACCGGCUGUCUGUCGCUGGACUUCUUCUCUGGGACACCGCUGACAACGCUUCCUUCUUUCGGGCGGACAAAAAACCAAAAAAAACCAAAAAAAAAAAAAACAACAUCGCUUCAUAAACCCAAAAUCCUAAACCUCAUGUUGGAGUCUUGCAAAAACCAGCUGCUGAGACAAUCAACCUCGAGAC